Danio rerio (zebrafish) is the source of this 2891-nucleotide non-coding RNA. NCBI's taxonomy places the organism in Eukaryota, Metazoa, Chordata, Actinopteri, Cypriniformes, Danionidae. The record is from Ensembl.
CAAGAAUGUACUGAGAACUGUAAUAUGCUUUAACACACAGGUGUGCCACUUCCAUGAACAUAAUGCUGUUUGAUCUACUUGCUGUCUUAGGUAAGUUUUAUUUAUUUAUUUAUUUAUUUAUUUUUUUACAUUUUUCCUGGUAGAGGUAUUUUUUUAUCCAAUAAUUGAUAAUACUAUUUUAUUCUCAGGGAUGUUGUCCCUCACAGGGGACUCUUCUCAGGGAUGUUGUUCCUCUAGUCAAAUAUCUCAACAAUAUCACUUCAUAAAUAUAACAAAGAACUGGACUGAGGCUCAGAGGUUUUGCCGUGAGAAGUACACUGGCCUGGUGACUGUGAAAAAUGGAGAUGAGACAAAGACCAUAACUGAUGUUUUAAAUGAUGUUUACAUUGGACUUUACAGACAGGAGAGAUUUAGUUGGCAUUGGUGUAUGCCAGACACUUUCUACAAUGCAAAAACACUCCAAAAUUGGAAAAAGGAACAACCAGAUGAAAAUAAUAAAGGAUUUGAAACUGGAACAAAUAACUCUAAUUCAGAAAGACAAUUUGUUUGCUAUACUGCAAGAAACAACACGCAAAUCCAGAUUGAGAAGAGGGAAUUCAAGAGAGGUGCUCAACAAAGUUGCAAAAACUUUACAGAUUUAAAAAAUUCCUCAAUCAGCUUAGAAAACUCCAUUUUAAUUGUUCUGAAAAACUACAACUGGGGUUUUAUAACAAAUGAUGUGUGGAUUGGACUGUUUAAAGAUGACUGCUUGUGGUUGGAUCAGAACAACUCUUGCUUCUGUGCCUGUAGUUUGAGUCCAGAAAAACACAACAACAGCAGUUCAAACAAAUGUAAAUGGAUUGUAAAUGAAAAAAGUAUAAGGAAUGAAGCUCAAUGCAACGAAAAUUUACCCUUCAUCUGUUAUGAUGGUACGCUAAAUCACUUUAUGCUUAGCAGCUUUUUAAUUUUCAUAAUAAAGAUAAAAAAUUUAUUUUACUGCAUUUCUGUGUAAUAUGUUGUGUCAUUAUUCUGCCUUCUUUAUAGAUCUAAAACGAACUGCUACGCCAGAUCCAUUGCCAACACCAACUGCUGGAGAGAAUAUAAGUAUUGUGCAUCUCCUAAAUGUACACAUUAACUCACAAAAAUGUAGAAUGUAAAAUUACUCAGUUAUAAUCACAAUAAUAAUAAUAAUAAUAAUAAUAAAUAAUAAAAUAUAAUUAAAAAACAAGAACAGCUUAGCUAACUCUGUUGAGUUGAAAGGAUUGUUUUAGUAAGUCAUUUUGAAUAAAUGCAAGCAUCUCCUAAAUGAAUAAAUUUGAAUUUAAUGUAAGUAACAUUAUUACAUUUAACAGCUACAAAAUACCUUUAAAAAAUAUUUUAUCAUACAAAUAACCACAAAUAUUUUUAUAGAAGUUGUUACAGAAUAAUAUUCCUUGCAAAGCCAUUAUUUAUCAUUUUAGCAAAAGCUUUAAUUAUUUAUGUGAAUUAUUAACUUAUAAUUUAUUACUAAUACAGCCACUUCUGGAACAACAACACAGCAGCACAAACCAAACCAAAACGCAAUCGAGAGGGAACAUGCAAACAGUCAAACAACCCAAAUACUCCCAACAGGUCAAGAACAAGGUGAGAAAUUUUAUCUCUUUUAAUAUCUGUUGUUUUCUUAUUUGAAUUUAUGCAAAAGUUAGCUACAAUGUUCAUAAGUGUCUCUCUCUCUCUCUCUCUCUCUCUCUCUCUCUCUCUCUCUGUGUGUGUGUGUAUGUGUGAGAGAGAGAGAAAUUUUAAAAUUUGAAUACACCUUUAUUUAAUACAAAAUUUUAAUCUACAACAUGUUUCAUUAAUUGAAACAAAACACAUUUCCAAAUCACACAAUAUUUUCAUCAAAAAUCAAUACAUUAUUUUCAACCCAACACAACAUUUGUUUUUACACUCCACAUGCCUUCAAACUUGUGUAACUCAUUCAUUGACCAAUAAAAAUUAAAAUCAUGCCUUAUUCUUGCUCUUAUAAGCCCUUUAAAAAUCAGUUCAACUUUAUGAUUGGUCUCAUACAAAAUCUUGUGCCUCCUACUCAUGUAUGUUGCCAUUUUUGCUUGUCCUAAAAUAAAAUUUAACAGACGCCCUUUUCUUUUUUCUUUAUUUCCAUAUUUAAAACCAAACACAAACACAGUUUUUGUAAACGUCUCAUCAACGGAAAGCAAAAUAACCUCCAAUAAAUUGAAUAAAAACCCAGUCUUUCACAAUGCAUAAAACAAUGAAAAAUUGUCUCUCUUUCAUCACAAAAAGGACAUUUAUCAUGCACAGUUGGAUUCAGUAUUGAAAUAAAAGUAUUGACUGCAAUAAUACACUUUAACAUCCGGCACUGAAGAUCUCCAACAUUUUUAGUCAACGGUGGCUUGUAAACUGAACUCCAAACAGGCAUAACAUCACUAUCAACAUUUAAAUGCUCUCUCCAUGGUGUAUCGACACAUUGUAAUUUUUCUUGGUUUGUAACUUUUAUACAAAUCUUAUACAAAAUCUUUCCUCCCAAUGAAUUAAAAACAAUGUCUUUUGAAAUCUUUAAACUCUCCAUUCCUGAAGGAUUUUGUUGUAUGACCAAACUUGGAAACGAAUCCAUUAUAUUUGGCACUGUUUGUAAUGAUAAAAAGUUCCAGUCUUUUUGACUCAGUGUUUCUCUUAGUUUUUUUGAGCAAUAAAUGAACUUUUCUUGUUGAUCUCCUAUUUAGUCUUUGAGCGACUGUAUCGGCAUUGUCUAAAUUUUCCCAGCCACUUCUAUUAAGUUCAUAAUUUUUGUCAUUUUUGCAUUAAAAAGCAAAUGUUUUAAACCAGGUAUUUUAUCAACCAAAAGGUCCAAGCGAGUGCCAUUUAUUAGUGGUUCUUCCAAAAACCAAUAUAAAGAUUUAUGAGACAACAUUCUU